GACGAACGCUGGCGGCGUGCUUAACACAUGCAAGUCGAGCGGUAAGGCCCUUUCGGGGGUACACGAGCGGCGAACGGGUGAGUAACACGUGGGUGACCUGCCCUCAGCUCUGGGAUAAGCCUGGGAAACCGGGUCUAAUACCGGAUAUGACUCCAUGACGCAUGUUGUGGGGUGGAAAGCCUUGUGCGGCUGAGGAUGGGCCCGCGGCCUAUCAGCUUGUUGGUGGGGUGAUGGCCUACCAAGGCGACGACGGUAGCCGGCCUGAGAGGCGACCGGCCACACUGGGACUGAGACACGGCCCAGACUCCUACGGGAGGCAGCAGUGGGGAAUCUUGCGCAAUGGGCGAAAGCCUGACGCAGCGACGCCGCGUGAGGGAUGACGGCCUCGG
RNAcentral lists this ribosomal RNA (389 nucleotides) under uncultured bacterium. RNAcentral's name for it is "bacterial SSU rRNA". It matches the Rfam family "Bacterial small subunit ribosomal RNA", at positions 28 to 420 of the family's 1533-position model. The record is from RNAcentral.